GCUCGUAGUUGGAUCUCGGCGGACAGAAGUCGGUCCGAAUGCUUUCGGUACUGGCUUGUUUGUCCGUGUGUUUUGCCAGAGGCAGGCGGGUGCUCUUCGCCGAGUGUCCGUCUGUGCUGGCAGGUUUACUUUGAAAAAAUUAGAGUGCUCAAAGCAAGCUCUCACGCUUGAAUAUUCGUGCAUGGAAUAAUAGAAUAGGAUGUCGUUUCUAUUUUGUUGGUUUUCGGAAAUCGACAUAAUGAUUAAUAGGGACAGUCGGGGGCAUUUGUAUUCAAACGACAGAGGUGAAAUUCUUGGACCGUUUGAAGACAAACUACUGCGAAAGCAUUUGCCAAGAAUGUUUUCAUUAAUCAAGAACGAAAGUUAGAGGUUCGAAGGCGAUUAGAUACCGCCCUAGUUCUAACCAUAAACGAUGCCAGCUAGCGAUCUGCAGGCGUUUUACUUUACGACCUUGCAGGGAGCUUCCGGGAAACCAAAGCUUGUGGGUUCCAGGGGAAGUAUGGUUGCAAAGCUGAAACUUAAAGGAAUUGACGGAAGGGCACCACCAGGAGUGGAGCCUGUGGCUUAAUUUGACUCAACACGGGAAAUCUCACCAGGCCCGGACACGAGAAGGAUUGACAGAUUGAUAGCUCUUUCUUGAUUUCGUGGGUGGUGGUGCAUGGCCGUUCUUAGUUGGUGGAGUGAUUUGUCUGGUUAAUUCCGAUAACGAACGAGACUCUGUCCUGCUAACUAGUGUCUGCUUCUUUUCUGAGCAGAUUAUUCUUCUUAGAGGGACU
RNAcentral lists this ribosomal RNA (776 nucleotides) under Eudiaptomus environmental sample. RNAcentral describes it as "SSU rRNA". It matches the Rfam family "Eukaryotic small subunit ribosomal RNA", at positions 626 to 1421 of the family's 1831-position model. Lineage: Eukaryota; Metazoa; Arthropoda; Copepoda; Calanoida; Diaptomidae. The record is from RNAcentral.